RNAcentral lists this ribosomal RNA (1255 nucleotides) under Lactiplantibacillus plantarum. Its description in RNAcentral is "bacterial SSU rRNA". It matches the Rfam family "Bacterial small subunit ribosomal RNA", at positions 64 to 1307 of the family's 1533-position model. Lineage: Bacteria; Bacillati; Bacillota; Bacilli; Lactobacillales; Lactobacillaceae. The record is from RNAcentral.
GUGCUUGCAUCAUGAUUUACAUUUGAGUGAGUGGCGAACUGGUGAGUAACACGUGGGAAACCUGCCCAGAAGCGGGGGAUAACACCUGGAAACAGAUGCUAAUACCGCAUAACAACUUGGACCGCAUGGUCCGAGUUUGAAAGAUGGCUUCGGCUAUCACUUUUGGAUGGUCCCGCGGCGUAUUAGCUAGAUGGUGGGGUAACGGCUCACCAUGGCAAUGAUACGUAGCCGACCUGAGAGGGUAAUCGGCCACAUUGGGACUGAGACACGGCCCAAACUCCUACGGGAGGCAGCAGUAGGGAAUCUUCCACAAUGGACGAAAGUCUGAUGGAGCAACGCCGCGUGAGUGAAGAAGGGUUUCGGCUCGUAAAACUCUGUUGUUAAAGAAGAACAUAUCUGAGAGUAACUGUUCAGGUAUUGACGGUAUUUAACCAGAAAGCCACGGCUAACUACGUGCCAGCAGCCGCGGUAAUACGUAGGUGGCAAGCGUUGUCCGGAUUUAUUGGGCGUAAAGCGAGCGCAGGCGGUUUUUUAAGUCUGAUGUGAAAGCCUUCGGCUCAACCGAAGAAGUGCAUCGGAAACUGGGAAACUUGAGUGCAGAAGAGGACAGUGGAACUCCAUGUGUAGCGGUGAAAUGCGUAGAUAUAUGGAAGAACACCAGUGGCGAAGGCGGCUGUCUGGUCUGUAACUGACGCUGAGGCUCGAAAGUAUGGGUAGCAAACAGGAUUAGAUACCCUGGUAGUCCAUACCGUAAACGAUGAAUGCUAAGUGUUGGAGGGUUUCCGCCCUUCAGUGCUGCAGCUAACGCAUUAAGCAUUCCGCCUGGGGAGUACGGCCGCAAGGCUGAAACUCAAAGGAAUUGACGGGGGCCCGCACAAGCGGUGGAGCAUGUGGUUUAAUUCGAAGCUACGCGAAGAACCUUACCAGGUCUUGACAUACUAUGCAAAUCUAAGAGAUUAGACGUUCCCUUCGGGGACAUGGAUACAGGUGGUGCAUGGUUGUCGUCAGCUCGUGUCGUGAGAUGUUGGGUUAAGUCCCGCAACGAGCGCAACCCUUAUUAUCAGUUGCCAGCAUUAAGUUGGGCACUCUGGUGAGACUGCCGGUGACAAACCGGAGGAAGGUGGGGAUGACGUCAAAUCAUCAUGCCCCUUAUGACCUGGGCUACACACGUGCUACAAUGGAUGGUACAACGAGUUGCGAACUCGCGAGAGUAAGCUAAUCUCUUAAAGCCAUUCUCAGUUCGGAUUGUAGGCUG